GAUGAACGCUGGCGGCGUGCCUAAUACAUGCAAGUCGAGCGAACGGACGAGAAGCUUGCUUCUCUGAUGUUAGCGGCGGACGGGUGAGUAACACGUGGAUAACCUACCUAUAAGACUGGGAUAACUUCGGGAAACCGGAGCUAAUACCGGAUAAUAUUUUGAACCGCAUGGUUCAAAAGUGAAAGGCGGUCUUGCUGUCACUUAUAGAUGGAUCCGCGCUGCAUUAGCUAGUUGGUAAGGUAACGGCUUACCAAGGCAACGAUGCAUAGCCGACCUGAGAGGGUGAUCGGCCACCCUGGAACUGAGACAGGGCCCAAACUCCUACGGGGGGCAGCAGUGGGGAAUCUUCCGCAAGGGGCGAAAGCCUGACGGGGCAACGCCGGGGGGGGGAUGAAGGUCUUCGGAUCGUAAAACUCUGUUAUUAGGGAAGAACAUAUGUGUAAGUAACUGUGCACAUCUUGACGGUACCUAAUCAGAAAGCCCCGGCUAACUACGU
Molecule: ribosomal RNA, 496 nt
Filed under: uncultured bacterium
Lineage: Bacteria
Description: partial 16S ribosomal RNA
Rfam family: Bacterial small subunit ribosomal RNA
Source: RNAcentral